This is a long non-coding RNA of Passer domesticus (house sparrow), 431 nucleotides long. RefSeq lists it as uncharacterized. Lineage: Eukaryota; Metazoa; Chordata; Aves; Passeriformes; Passeridae. The transcript has 3 exons. The record is from RefSeq and is a predicted model, not a curated record.
AUGAAAACAUUUAAAUGAUGAAAAAAAAAUACCCAGCCUUGGUUUAUCAAGGGAACUUCUAAUGAGGAGAAGGGGAGGGGUAACAGCCACAGAAAGGGCAGCAGAGACUAACAGCCUGGCAGAGCACUUGUCAUCCUGACAACACAGCCCUGACUUGGAGUGCUCUGUACUCCAGGGCUACUGCUCCUCUGCAUGGAGUUCCAAACCCCCAACCCUUCUCACUCCAGAACUUCCAAAGUGCACCUCCCACCUCCCUCAAACGCCUUUCAGCUCUCCCUGCUGCAGCAGGACCUGCUCCAUCUCUCCUGUCCAGGUAUUUGGUGCCUCUGGAUUGUCUGGGAGUUUGGGAUGGAGAAGUUGUUGGCAAGUCCCUUCUGCAGGCCCAGUGAUGCUUUUUUCCCAUGAAGGUAUGGCUCUAUUCAUGGUAAGGG